CAGAGAAUAUUGAAGAACCCUGGAAAGUGAGAUUCACGGAUACUCUUGGACGAGUGAUUUCACAUAUGAGUUAGAAGCUUAUGACAACCUGAACAGACUCACAUCGAACAAGCUUGGAGCUGUUGUUGUAGGAAUUGACUACAGGCUUACUCCUCAGUAUCAGUUCCCAGCUGCCCUUUCUCCAGGAUAAAAUUCUUGCAAAAUACAGAGUGGAUCCUUCUCGCAUAUGCAUUAUGGGAGACAGUUCUGGGGGUUCCUUGGCAGCAACAGUGACUCAGCUGGUA
This 284-nucleotide long non-coding RNA is filed under the name Mus spicilegus (steppe mouse). RNAcentral's name for it is "lncRNA (ENSMSIG00000026301.1)". Lineage: Eukaryota; Metazoa; Chordata; Mammalia; Rodentia; Muridae. The record is from RNAcentral.